This 116-nucleotide non-coding RNA is filed under the name Ophiophagus hannah (king cobra). The record is from RNAcentral. Lineage: Eukaryota; Metazoa; Chordata; Lepidosauria; Squamata; Elapidae.
GAGAGAGAGAAAGGAGAGAAGGAUAGCACUCCCCUUGAUAAGGAUGGAAGAGGCCCUUGUGGUCUUUGCAACACCCAUAUGGUUAAGGUUACUUAUGACCUGAUUCAAAGUUCCUA